Salvia splendens (bonfire salvia) is the source of this 170-nucleotide long non-coding RNA. RefSeq lists it as uncharacterized. The record is from RefSeq and is a predicted model, not a curated record. The transcript has 3 exons. Lineage: Eukaryota; Viridiplantae; Streptophyta; Magnoliopsida; Lamiales; Lamiaceae.
AAUUGCAGCACAUUCAUGGCUCCAAGUUCAGUUCUUUUUGCCCUUUGCCUUUUAUUUUUGGUAACAGCCGACGGAAGGAGAUUAUCGCAGGCGCGCGUUGACAGCGUUUCAGCCUCAUAUACGACGGCCACAACCUAUUACUAUGACGUAAGUGGAUUAAUAACAGUGAA